Molecule: long non-coding RNA, 419 nt
Filed under: Durio zibethinus
Lineage: Eukaryota; Viridiplantae; Streptophyta; Magnoliopsida; Malvales; Malvaceae
Description: long non-coding RNA (DZIB_LNC001547)
Source: RNAcentral
GGCUUCUAAAAUUAGGGGUUUUUUGGUCAUAACCUAGAUGACCAAAGAAAUUAGGGUUUUUUUUGUUGAAAUACUAGAUGGUCACAACCUUACAAUAUCAAGUUCAAACCACAAAGAAAUUAAAGAAAAAACCAUCUGAACAAAUUUCUAAUUCCAAAGUUGUGAAUAAGUCGAUUAGAACCACAGCUCUUCCAAGUAAAAUUAUUUUUAAACAGUACCUUCUCAUAAUCGCAACACUGGAUUCAACGAAGAUUGGGUGCUGGUUUGAAAACGAAGACACGAAAAGGGAAAUAAGAUUUGAGAAAGAGAAAAAGGGAAAGUGAAAGGAGAAUGGGAUUUGAGAAAGAGGGAAGACAAGAGAGAUUUGAGAAAGGGGAAAAUUUUGCAUGAAAGAGAAAGGGGUGGGGAAUGGAGAAAAU